CAGACCUACAUUUUGGAACAGUCACAAGGAAGAAGUGUUUCUUUUCAGAGCCUGGAGCAGUCAGCACAAGGGUUUAGAAGCCCUGCGGUGUGCACAUGGAAGCCAAGGACUGUGAUCUUCAAUGUCUCGUGUGGCUCUUCCAGGCUCACAAUCACCACCUGCUCCGAGUUCUUCCAAAGAGCAGUUUAGCUUCUUGUGGGGAGAUUAUGGAUUGCUCCCCAAUCCAUGGGAUCCUACAGCAGCUGGCAGUAAUGGGAUGAACACUACUGUGAAGAUUUUAUCCCCUUUGGAUCCCCAUGAUAACUUGGCAGGGACUUUUGUUCAACAUUAACUAAGUGACAGUGGCUGAGAGGAGAGCUGAAGCCCAGCCAGAACAGCACCACACCUCAGAAGCUCGAAACACUUUUGCAAUGCAGAUUUAAGAGUAAGUUCUUCGUCCCAGACAUUCCUGUCAUUGGAUAAAUAAAGAUUUAUAGCUGCCUUCUCUGGCAAACUGCAAUAUGGUAAUGCGGCAUUAAUAACUUAAUACAGUAUUAACUGAUAGACAAUCAGUAUUAGCAUGAUGUUUACAUUUUGAAAACAUUAUAGAGCACUGUAUCUCCAAUUUUUAGCCUGCCAUUAGUUCAGAUGUGGAGCUCAUUACACAGCAAUUGACAUUUCCCUUCUGAAUCUGCAUCCUGCUCUGCACAGGCCUCGUAUCUGCCUGGGACAACCAGCCCUGUAAGCCACUCUGCAAAUCUAAAUUCUCUGCAGAACAUCCACGGUGUUUUGCUCUCCUGAGGCUGCAGGUACCUUUUCAAACACCGUACCCAAAAAGCUGCAAGGGGGUUCUGAACGUGGGGCCCCCCACUGCACCUGCCAAAGAGAUGCAGGUCCCAGCCUGGUACUCGGACCCCUCUCCCCAUCCCCGUGCCUCUGUUCACUGCUGUCCAGGCUGGGCCGAGGCACCAGCCCCGGCCUCUGGGACAGCCCGAGGACACUUUGCCGGACUCGGGCGCGAUUACGCAGCUCCGGGGCCGCAGCCGGAGGGGUCACAGU
Long non-coding RNA from Cyanistes caeruleus (blue tit), 1038 nucleotides. RefSeq lists it as uncharacterized. The record is from RefSeq and is a predicted model, not a curated record. NCBI's taxonomy places the organism in Eukaryota, Metazoa, Chordata, Aves, Passeriformes, Paridae.